GACGAACGCUGGCGGCGUGCCUAAUACAUGCAAGUUGAGCGCUGAAGGUUGGUACUUGUACCAACUGGAUGAGCAGCGAACGGGCGAGUAACGCGUGGGGAAUCUGCCUUUGAGCGGGGGACAACAUUUGGAAACGAAUGCUAAUACCGCAUAAAAACUUUAAACACAAGUUUUAAGUUUGAAAGAUGCAAUUGCAUCACUCAAAGAUGAUCCCGCGUUGUAUUAGCUAGUUGGUGAGGUAAAGGCUCACCAAGGCGAUGAUACAUAGCCGACCUGAGAGGGUGAUCGGCCACAUUGGGACUGAGACACGGCCCAAACUCCUACGGGAGGCAGCAGUAGGGAAUCUUCGGCAAUGGACGAAAGUCUGACCGAGCAACGCCGCGUGAGUGAAGAAGGUUUUCGGAUCGUAAAACUCUGUUGGUAGAGAAGAACGUUGGUGAGAGUGGAAAGCUCAUCAAGUGACGGUAACUACCCAGAAAGGGACGGCUAACUACGUG
This 497-nucleotide ribosomal RNA is filed under the name uncultured bacterium. Its description in RNAcentral is "partial 16S ribosomal RNA". It matches the Rfam family "Bacterial small subunit ribosomal RNA", at positions 28 to 507 of the family's 1533-position model. The record is from RNAcentral.